GACGAACGCUGGCGGCGGGCUUAACACAUGCAAGUCGAACGGAAAGGCCCUGCUUUUGUGGGGUGCUCGAGUGGCGAACGGGUGAGUAACCCGUGAGUAACCUGCCCUUGACUUUGGGAUAACUUCAGGAGACUGGGGCUAAUACCGGAUAGGAGCUCCUGCUGCUGGGGGGGGGUUGGAAAGUUUGGGCGGUUGUGAAUCGACUCGCGGGUUAUCAGCUUGUUGGUGGGGUACUGGCUUACCAAGGCUUUGGUGGGUAGCCGGCCUGGGUGGGUGAUCGGCCACCUUAGGCCUGAGAUAGGGCCCAGACUCCUACGGGAGGCAGCAGUGGGGAAUAUGGCACAAUGGGCGGAAGCCUGAUGCAGCAACGCCGCGUGCGGGAUGACGGCCUUCGGGUUGUAAACCGCUUUCGCCUGUGACGAAGCGUGAGUGACGGUAAUGGGUAAAGAAGCACCGGCUAACUACGUG
This 468-nucleotide ribosomal RNA is filed under the name uncultured bacterium. RNAcentral's name for it is "partial 16S ribosomal RNA". It matches the Rfam family "Bacterial small subunit ribosomal RNA", at positions 28 to 507 of the family's 1533-position model. The record is from RNAcentral.